GAUGAACGCUGGCGGCGUGCCUAAUACAUGCAAGUCGAGCGAACGGACGAGAAGCUUGCUUCUCUGAUGUUAGCGGCGGACGGGUGAGUAACACGUGGAUAACCUACCUAUAAGACUGGGAUAACUUCGGGAAACCGGAGCUAAUACCGGAUGAUAUUUUGAACCGCAUGGUUCAAAAGUGAAAGACGGUCUUGCUGUCACUUAUAGAUGGAUCCGCGCUGCAUUAGCUAGUUGGUAAGGUAACGGCUUACCAAGGCAACGAUGCAUAGCCGACCUGAGAGCGUGAUCGGCCACCCUUGAACUGAACCCCGGACCGGACUCCUGCGGGAGGCAGCAGCAGGGAAUCUUCCGCAAUGGUCUAAGGCCUGACGAACCAACUCCGCAGGAGUGAUGAAGGUCUUCGGAUCGUAAAACUCUCUUGUUAGGGAAGAACAAAUGUGUAAGUAACUGUGCCCAUCUUGACGGUACCGAAUCAGAAAGCCACGGCUAACUACGUG
Molecule: ribosomal RNA, 497 nt
Filed under: uncultured bacterium
Lineage: Bacteria
Description: partial 16S ribosomal RNA
Rfam family: Bacterial small subunit ribosomal RNA
Source: RNAcentral